AGGAUUAUAUUCCAACGUAUCUACAAGAUAUCUACAGUCACUCUCCAUUAAGGAAGUGAGGAGAGCAGCAUACCUUGAGGGUGAAGAAGAUAUGUAAAUACAGGUGUCUUCUUUUGGACACUGGGGCUGGAACGACGAAACACAAAGCCUGAAGUUCACGAGGUGAAGCAGAUUGUUUUUUAUUACAUUUCUGUUCGACAGUCAUUUGAUAUGUAAUUCUGUUGCUUGUCUGUUUAGCAUUUCCUUCAUUUUUGUUGUGUGCAGUUUUGAACCCCGAGAAAUACAAGAAUAAAAAUAAAACGACGAAGACAUCUACAUAGCCUACCAAGAGCAGCUCAGAAAACAUCUGAAACAUAUUUUCACUGGUUCAUGUGGUUGGUUAGGAAAUAAUUAUGGCUUAAUAACUUUCUCUUGGCAAGACUUUGAUGUUUUUAUUCUGAGCAACUGAUUUACGCAGUUUCAUUUCUCAAAGAAACACUGUGGGACCAGCUCAACUGAAUGCCUUCAAGACGUCAGUCAAUAAAACGCUCAUAAAAGACACAUGUCAAAAUUCAUGAUGUUAAAUGUAGGUUCUUAAUGACUCUUAGUUUGCUGCAUAAUGAAAACGAAACGAACUUUGAGAAGGCAAGGUCUUUUUCUAAGAGCAAGGAUAUUUAAGUACACCAUUAUUGUGUUACAGUGUCAGCUGUCUCUUUGUUACAAAAGGAUGAAUUCCCAAUACCUACAUGUUUUCUGUCUCUACUAAAUGAUGAGAAUGUAAGCGAGAGAGGCAGAAAAAGGCAGAAACAUUUGUUAAUGUGGAGAUGGGCAAAAGCAGCUUGCCCUGAGUCAUGCCAUGCUUCUGCUAGGGAAGGGUCUCAGGGUUGUCUCUCUUUUUAUUGUAGGUUUUGCAGUUGUCUCUUUUGAACUACUGACAUCUUGUGGGCAUUCACUGUAAGGGUAUUGCAGGUAACAAUUCCUGAACUAAUCACAAAAUAAACAAGAAAAUUUAACAGAGCCAUCACAAUUUAUUAAAAUAUUGAUACAUUGUCUUCAAGGAUUAAAUCAAUAAAAUAGAAGGAUUUUGGCAAUGUGGCUUCAUUUAGCCGGUAAUUUUAUUUAAUUACUACCACCCUAAAGAGGUUUAUAUAAGGGGUGUGUAACUGUAGAAAUAAAUGUUUCAGACAACUGCCCCAACAGCGAUGAC
Long non-coding RNA from Triplophysa rosa, 1186 nucleotides. RefSeq lists it as uncharacterized. The record is from RefSeq and is a predicted model, not a curated record. The transcript has 3 exons. Lineage: Eukaryota; Metazoa; Chordata; Actinopteri; Cypriniformes; Nemacheilidae.